This 293-nucleotide long non-coding RNA is filed under the name Homo sapiens (human). RNAcentral describes it as "HSALNT0051629". Lineage: Eukaryota; Metazoa; Chordata; Mammalia; Primates; Hominidae. The record is from RNAcentral.
ACCGGCGCGCGGCUGGAGGCUGGGAACCAGCUCCUGGGUCUUAGUCAGAGGUUCACAUCCACCAACUAUCUUCCCAGGGUUGGACUGAGAAGGGGAGCAGAGGGUCCCAGGGACUCUCCUGAGAUCCUGGCUCUCCUGCCAAGGAAUUUACAUUUCCUUGUCACAGGACCAUGUAAGAUAUCCAACUACUCUGAAACUACCACACUGUGAAGAGUCUAACCAAGCCACCUGGAGAGACCAAACGGAAGAAAACUAAGGCCCCUGGCCAACAGCCCUAGCUGUGCUCCUACUGG